UGGGGGAUAUUGCGCAAUGGAGGAAACUCUGACGCAGCAACGCCGCGUGAAGGAAGAAGGUCUUCGGAUUGUAAACUUUUGUCUUCGUGGACGAUAAUGACGGUACCCGAGGAGGAAGCCACGGCUAACUACGUGCCAGCAGCCGCGGUAAUACGUAGGUGGCGAGCGUUGUCCGGAAUUACUGGGUGUAAAGGGUGCGUAGGCGGGUUGACAAGUCAGAUGUGAAAUCCCAUGGCUUAACUGUGGGACUGCAUUUGAAACUGUUGGCCUUGAGUGCAGGAGAGGUAAGCGGAAUUCCCAGUGUAGCGGUGAAAUGCGUAGAUAUUGGGAGGAACACCAGUGGCGAAGGCGGCUUACUGGACUGCAACUGACGCUGAUGCACGAAAGCGUGGGGAUCAAACAGG
This 404-nucleotide ribosomal RNA is filed under the name uncultured prokaryote. RNAcentral describes it as "bacterial SSU rRNA". It matches the Rfam family "Bacterial small subunit ribosomal RNA", at positions 355 to 776 of the family's 1533-position model. The record is from RNAcentral. RNAcentral also lists the same sequence under 1 other name.